GGGCCUUUAGCUCAGUUGGUUAGAGCAUCCGACUCAUAAUCGGCAGGUCGAAGGUUCGAGUCCUUCCAGGCCCACCA
This 77-nucleotide transfer RNA is filed under the name Amphritea sp. RNAcentral describes it as "tRNA-Ile". It matches the Rfam family "tRNA". From Rfam's summary of the family: Transfer RNA (tRNA) molecules are approximately 80 nucleotides in length. Their secondary structure includes four short double-helical elements and three loops (D, anti-codon, and T loops). Lineage: Bacteria; Pseudomonadati; Pseudomonadota; Gammaproteobacteria; Oceanospirillales; Oceanospirillaceae. The record is from RNAcentral.